Molecule: long non-coding RNA, 1155 nt
Filed under: Homo sapiens (human)
Lineage: Eukaryota; Metazoa; Chordata; Mammalia; Primates; Hominidae
Description: HSALNT0033217
Source: RNAcentral
GCAGCCACAGGUAUUCUGUUGAAGCCUGUGGGUGAGAAAGACAUAAACAGGUGCUAUAAAUUUGUCAGACCAGGAAGCCACAGGCCGUUUAGUAAAUGGUAAACCCAAUGGCCCAAAAGAACAAAGGGGUCUCUUUUCAUCAGAAUGAUCAGGCUCAUUCAACAAAUAUUUAUUGAGCACCCACUUUCUGCCAGAUGGAAGAGCCACUGACAAGGCCUCUUAUUUAAAGAGUGCCUGAAGUGAGGAAGCAAACCCCCAAAUCAUCUGGGAUGGUAUGAACUGAACUCUGGACCGCAACAUGAUGGAAAGGAGGAGCUGGGGUCCCAAGGGCAGUCCAGACAACCUGAACCUGUGACACUCACCCUGCCCACACACUCUCAGAGCUGCAGCUUUCACGGGGGUGACAUGAAUGCUUGUAAAUGAGCUUGCUGAAUGGGAGACCAAGAACGAUGAUAUUGAGCUGUUACUACAUGCCAGACAUUUAACCCUUUCAUCCAGGUUAUCUCAAUCAUUCCUUACAGAAAGGCUUUUGAGAUGUCCUUGCAACUGGAGGUGCCAUAUGAUACAGUUCUGCCCAAAGACAAGAAAGUGAAUGUCUGUUGAGGGCUUCCUAUAAGGCCAAUACAUACAGGUGUUCCCAACAACAGCUUUGUGUUUACCAAUUCAAACUUGGACUUCAGAGAAAACAGAGAGCACUCUACUAUGAUAACACAGAACUAGUACCAUAAUUUUUUUUGGUUAAGAAAGGUGUUUUGAACUAGAUUACUGACUGGCCAUCUGUGGCAGGCCCACUCCUGGAUGUCAUGCCCCUGUUAAUGAAAUCUGGGCGUGCGCUCGUAAACAGACCUGGUGAAUGGUAGACGUCAGCCAUUGCGUGAUGGACAAUCAUCAAUCAUCCAUUGUCAGUUAUUUCUGUCCCAGUGAGUAAGCCUUUAUUUAAAGCAUUAAGUAAGAAUGUUGCCAGACCACAGGAACAAGCCCUGAGCUGUUUGCAGGUGCUGCUAUUCACAGCUGCCAAUUAAACCCCUGACAUUUCCAUAUUGGCCAUGAGGCACAGCAUAUGCUUUUGACAUACCAAUUCUUUAAAAAAAAAAAAAUCACCAAUCUCAGAUUAUCAAUACAUGCCUUUUUCUUUUUCCAUGGUUACUACAUGAA